AGAGUUUGAUCCUGGCUCAGAUUGAACGCUGGCGGCGUGCCUCAGACAUGCAAGUCGAACGAUUAAAGCUCUCUUCGGAGAGUGUAUAGAGUGGCGCACGGGUGAGUAACACGUAAGUAAUCUACCUUCGAGUGGGGAAUAACGUCCGGAAAUGGGCGCUAAUACUGCAUAAUGCAGCGGCAUCGUAAGGUGACAGUUGUUAAAGAUUUAUCGCUUGAAGAGGAGCUUGCGGCAGAUUAGCUAGUUGGUAAGGUAAUGGCUUACCAAGGCUACGAUCUGUAACCGGUCUUAGAGGACGGUCGGUCACACUGACACUGAAUAACGGGUCAGACUCCUACGGGAGGCAGCAGUCGGGAAUUUUGGGCAAUAGGCGAAAGCCUGACCCAGCAACGCCGCGUGAAGGAUGAAGUAUUUCGGUACGUAAACUUCGAAAGAAUAGGAAGAAUAAAUGACGGUACUAUUUAUAAGGUCCGGCUAACUACGUGCCAGCAGCCGCGGUAAU
This 502-nucleotide ribosomal RNA is filed under the name uncultured bacterium. RNAcentral's name for it is "bacterial SSU rRNA". It matches the Rfam family "Bacterial small subunit ribosomal RNA", at positions 8 to 524 of the family's 1533-position model. The record is from RNAcentral.